UUUUUUUUCCUUCAGAGUUGCUGACAGUGAAAUCAAGAUAAAUAAGGUAUCUGAAACUCACCAGUAGGGGAGCAAACAUGGAAGGAUACAGAAGCUCUCAGAUGGGUGUACUGCACACACAUAAGAUGGUGGAUUAGCAGAUUAGUCACUGUUUUCCUGAAGAUAACAGAAGACUGGAAACUGCCUACCAUUCACCAACUGGGCACGAUGAAGCUGUUACCAUGGUGAUAGGGUCCCGGAUGGGUGUCCAGGUUCUUGUGUGUAGGAAUAAAGAAUUGGACAUGGCAUGUGAAGGUAAGGAGAAGCAGAAUGGGGGGGUGGUAAAGAAAUAGAAGAGGAAGAGAUUAGAAGCGAGGCUGGAGGACAAAGGAAGAGCAUGCAAACGUUGGGGAACUGGUGAAGGAGAAAGGGAAAGAGAGAAGGAAGAGACGCAAACAAGAACAGGAAGGAGCAACAACAAAACUAGAACCCGUGUCCACACUCAUAUAAAAAUAAGAAAAAACAAAACAAAAACAAGAAAGAGAAAUUUUUUUAAAAAGGAAAAGAAAAAAAGAAAAAAAAGUCACUUCAAGGCCUGUCUCUGCUGUCACAGGUGGACAACUUGGGCAGUGUUCAGAUGGGAGUUGAUUCACUCCAGCAAGCCAGCAUGGUUUUACAGCAGGAGAGUGGAUCAUCCCAGCAGGCCUGCGCCUUUACUUCUACUCAAGUUCAGGCUGGCUUCUGGCCGUGAGGAUGGAGCUGGACCUGUGGAGCCUGCAACAGUCCGCGCACCCCACACUGGCUCAACCCGGGCUCCCUGAGCUCCUGACACUGGAGCCCUUGGGGCCCUCUGCAGAGGCUUCCAGCCAAUCGCCCUGUCCUGGAGGGGUCCGAACCCCAACAACUCAUCACCUGCAUCCGCUGCUGCCCUCCCCUGUUCUUCUCCAUGGAGGACCCCACUUGCCAGUGGUCUGCAGGUUCAAGCCCCCUUCCCACGUGCGAGUCUGGGCUCGGGAGAAGGCGCUGUCCCCUACAGCCUCCUCCUUUGUUGGACACGCUGUCAUGCUCUUCCUGAGGGCUGGGCUGUCAGAGGACUGGUGGGGCAUUGGGUCACAUCACUGUCCUCUGCUCAUGUCCUGUCGCACAGUUCACUCUGUUAUUACUGGAUGGAUGAGGCGAGGCCCUGUGCACCAGCCUUUAGUGGGCUCCAGGUGAGAAAGGGUCCUGCCGGUCAGGAUGAGGCUCUGGCACACGGUCAUCUUGCUUUGGGACUCUGGAACUUUCCAAGGUGAGCCUAGGUGUCUUUGUUUUUCUUAUCUCUGUCUCUGGGUAAUGAACCUUAGGACAAAAAGGAUGGGGUCAGCCCUGGGGCUUUCCCCAGGUGCAGGUGAGUGGCCCUGUAGCCCCAAUGUGCUGUCUGUAUUAAAAUUAUGAUACAGCUGUAGAAGGAAACAUAGGAGGAGGUUUGUGGUUAUUUGUUUGUUCUUUUUGAUAUGGGAGGUCUUACUAUGUUGCCCAGGCUGGUCUUGAACCUUGUGGGCUCAAGCAAUCCUCCUGACUCAGCCUCUCAAGUAGCUGGAAUUACAAGGAAGAAGCACUGCAGCUGGAGAACGUUUCUGUUUCCUAAAUUGAGUAAUGGUUUUCAAAACAUGUUUUUGUCUUAAAGUUAUAAAUAUUCUUUUGCAUGUAGUAAAUAUUUAAUAAGAUUAAGUUUAAAAAACCAAGUGAAACAUAGGUAUGAAAAGAGAAAAAUACAAGUCUGUACUGAAUGCCUAAAAGAAUAGUCUGGGCAUGGUGGUGCACAUGGGUGGUGCUGAGUGUAAUCUCAGCACUCGGGAGGCUGAGGCAGGAUCACCUCGAGUGUGACCAGCUCUAUCCGGGACCCACCAAGAAUCACCCCAUUAGAACAAGAGAUGCUCCUACAGCUUAGGAAAUUCCCAGGGGCUCAGGAGCUCGGUGUUGGACGCUCCUGCCACUAGGAAAAUCACGAAGGUCUCAGGCGCCCUGUGUCAGGAGCCAGGGUCAAGGACCAAAGGUGAGGACCAGAUUCUCCCAGCGCCCUACCUAUGAGGGGCUGUUUCAGGAAACUGGAGCAUAGACCAAAGAUUAGAACAAGUUUUUCCUAGCAAUCCUAUUGCUUAGGAAGUUACAAGGUUUUGGAAGCUUUGUGGUAGGAACUGAGGACGAUAUUUAUGGUUCUUGCCUGGGGAUUUAGCUCAGUGGUUCCGCCGCCUGCCCCUCAAGCUCAAGGUCCCGAGUUUGAUCCCCAGUACUAAAAACAAAUUUAUGUUUAUUUCAUAAUCAAUGUCUUUUACAAAGUCUUAAAAUAGCACCUUGAUGGUCUCUGCAAUGAUAGCUAACAUUCACUGGCUACUGAGUUUGCGUGAGGCAUUGCUCAAAGCUUGUAUAUAAAUUACUCUUUCCCCAGGGAAGGCAGAAGGAGUAAAAAUGACCAAGAUGGGAUGAAUGUAUGUACCAUUUCCUGGGGAUGAAUGUAAUUAUUAUGUAUGGCAAACAUACACAUAAAAAAGAAAUGUACUCAUGGGGGGGUCAAUAAAAGAAGGAGAAGUAAAAAAUGAUUAACCCUUACAAUAACCUUAUGAAGUAGGAGUUAUUGUUAUUAUCCCCAUUUUUCAGAUGGGGCAGUAGGCACGGGGUAAAUUGCUGCAAAGCAGCACAGGUAGUAGAGGGGCAUGAUUUGGACCCAUCUCUGACCCAAGUUACUGCAUGCUGAGAGGAAGAUACAGUCACAGUGGAGCGAAUCUGGGGCAAGAUGAAGACCUUGUUUCUCUGCUGACCAUAGGUCUGCAGAGUGAGAGGCCUGGAGAAGUGAGAACCUUUGGCGUGCAGAUGUCUUUACUACUGGAGGACCUCGAACCAUAAAUGAGAUUUAAGGCAGGAUCUUAUAGGAGCAAAAGGGGCCCACUGGAAGCUCUUACCCGUGGGUUGGGAGAAAAAUAGCAUUUUCCAGAGUGUCCUUUGUGGUCCACAGGUUGGGCUGGUGGGGUGGGGGGAGCCCCUGUGCACACACAUUCGGGGGCCAGGAGUAGAUGUCAAAGGGCAGGUAGAUCUAGGAGGUUUUGUGUUGAGGAUUUGGUAGGGUUGGAAUCAGCUCAUGGUCACAAAGGAAGCAAAGAACAGUACACUGUGCAUCAGAAGGGCAGGCCACCCUCUGUUCAGGGACUUUAGUGCUGUGAGGUGCUCUGCUCAUUCAGAGUUUCUGUCAUUUGUGCCCUGAUCCAGCUCUUCCAGGUGGUGUGGCAGAAGGUGUCACUCCCUUCUUUCCUCUUCCUUACCUGGUGAAGCACCUGAGACUCAGAGGGGCUUUCCUGGGACCAACACUCUUGUCCCUGGCCUGUGUAGGAUGGAAGUGUAGAGGAGUUAAUAUACCCUGGGGCAGCCUUCUGCUGCUGAGGGGAGGGAGCUGCUGGAUGAAUGCUUCCGCUUCCUUGUUCUACAGAGGGUAAAACUCAGAGCUGUUCCAUCUCCUAGUGUGCCCUUGUUCGUGGAUACCCAACUGCCCACCAUGCCAUGCCCAUUGGUCACCUACUUAGUAACCUGGCUUUCUUAUGCUCCUGACUCUCUGCUUGUGCUCCCCAGGAUUGCCUCUCCAAUAAACUAUUUGUAUCAAG
This is a non-coding RNA of Heterocephalus glaber (naked mole-rat), 3611 nucleotides long. Lineage: Eukaryota; Metazoa; Chordata; Mammalia; Rodentia; Bathyergidae. The record is from RefSeq and is a predicted model, not a curated record.